RNAcentral lists this ribosomal RNA (466 nucleotides) under uncultured Klebsiella sp. Its description in RNAcentral is "bacterial SSU rRNA". It matches the Rfam family "Bacterial small subunit ribosomal RNA", at positions 338 to 795 of the family's 1533-position model. The record is from RNAcentral. Lineage: Bacteria; Pseudomonadati; Pseudomonadota; Gammaproteobacteria; Enterobacterales; Enterobacteriaceae.
CCUACGGGUGGCUGCAGUGGGGAAUAUUGCACAAUGGGCGCAAGGCUGAUGCAGCCAUGCCGCGUGUGUGAAGAAGGCCUUCGGGUUGUAAAGCACUUUCAGCGGGGAGGAAGGCGUUAAGGUUAAUAACCUUGGCGAUUGACGUUACCCGCAGAAGAAGCACCGGCUAACUCCGUGCCAGCAGCCGCGGUAAUACGGAGGGUGCAAGCGUGUAAUCGGAAUUACUGGGCGUAAAGCGCACGCAGGCGGUCUGUCAAGUCGGAUGUGAAAUCCCCGGGCUCAACCUGGGAACUGCAUUCGAAACUGGCAGGCUAGAGCCGUGUAGAGGGGGGUAGAAUUCCAGGUGUAGCGGUGAAAUGCGUAGAGAUCUGGAGGAAUACCGGUGGCGAAGGCGGCCCCCUGGACAAAGACUGACGCUCAGGUGCGAAAGCGUGGGGAGCAAACAGGAUUAGAUACCCCUGUAGUC